GAAAUAUGUUAAACAAGAUCAAGCUUCUAACUUGAAUCUUUAGCGGUGAAGUUCCGUUAAUAUUUCU
RNAcentral lists this transfer RNA (67 nucleotides) under Chalcophora japonica. RNAcentral's name for it is "tRNA-Ser". The record is from RNAcentral. Lineage: Eukaryota; Metazoa; Arthropoda; Insecta; Coleoptera; Buprestidae.